Molecule: long non-coding RNA, 6372 nt
Organism: Brassica rapa (field mustard)
Lineage: Eukaryota; Viridiplantae; Streptophyta; Magnoliopsida; Brassicales; Brassicaceae
Source: RefSeq, a predicted model, not a curated record
UGCAUUUAUUACAAUGCUUCUCUUUUAAUAUAUAAGGGAUAUAUAUAUAUAUAUAUACACAUAUAUAAGUUUCUUUUCUUUUUUUAACAUGAAACAAUGAAUAUAUUACUCAAAUUAAACGUGAACCGGAUAGUCAAAUCGUACUAAAACAACCAACAAAGUACAUAUAUCUAUGAAUCUGUGCUAAUGAGUUUUCUGCUCGGGGAUGGUAUCCAAAUUAGAACUCCUAAGAUUCUUGUUUCCAAAUCGCUAGCUCCUUUAACUUUGUCGAAAAGUUUAAACAUGUUCUUGGAUCUUGAAUAAUCCAGAUCAAGUCUUUACAAUCAACUUCAAAACGCUGACAUGUUGAGUGCUGCAACAUAUAUAUGUUGUCAAUAAUAGUGUUUAAUGACGACAAUCUUCUCCUCUGAUUUCUGGUUCCUAAUAGUUGAAUCAUCCAUGAUAAUCCAUGUUUGUGUAAACACUAAAAAAGCAAAACAAGAACGGAAUUACCGACGACGAGCAUUUCAUCAUAAAUUACUGAGGAAUCACCGAGGAAAUACCAAAAAAUGCAAAUAGAGCAUUCGUCGGGAUUUUGUCUGUAAUUACCAACUAUUUUUUAUGAAAGAAAAAUCGUUGGGAAUCACUGGCGAAAUUCUAACGAAAUGAUCUGGCGGUGUAAAUAAAAUGCAUAAAAUCUAUGGUUGGUUAUUUAGGAGUUGGGAUAGGGUUGGUUAGAUAGGUUUUAGUUAGGAUAGUGUGUUUAUUAAGGUCACAAACCCUAGAAAUGAUCCACAUAAAAAAAUAGGUUUUAGUUAGGAUAGUGUGUUUAGAUAUUGUCGGGUUGAAGAUCUAGGGUUGGUUAUUUAGGAGUUGGGUUCAGCUAAAAUUUAGGUUCUAUAGAGACGGUUCCUUUUUUAUACUGUGGAUUUUUAAAGUGGGUAUUGUUGCAGCUAUGGAGGCGCACAUGCAGAUGAAAAUGACGUUGUUUGAUGGAGACGACCAUGAGGUUUGGAUUAUAAAGAAGAGGAAUCUUUUGAUGGCUCGUGACGUAUGGAAUGUUAUAAAGAGUGGAUUUUCGGAAGAAAACACAAAUCACCAAAUUAUUGGAUUCUGUUACGAGCCAAAAAGAUCAGAGAAUCAAGGAUAUGACGGCUCUUCAUAUGCUGCAAAUGUCUGUAACAGACCCGAUCUUUCUUCAGAUAGGUAGAGCAACAUCGUCCAAGCAAGCAUGGGAGAUUCUCAGAGCGGAAUUCGGAGAGACCAAUGAGAUUCAGGAUUUGAAACUGACCUACCUUAAGACCAAAUUUGACGAAAUGAUGCUGGAGAAGGAAGAAAGCUUUGGGGAAUAUAUUAAAAAGAUGAUGGAGCUUGUGAACCAGCUUAAGUUCUACGGGUCUAACAUGUCUGAUCAGGGCCGGCUCAUGUGGGAGGGCCAGCAGUAUACUCGCCCAGGACCCACCUAAAAUCAAGCAAAUUUAGUGAUAUAAAGGGGCCUAAUAUUUUUUUUUCUCAACAACAACGGUCUAAUUUUUAUUUUUUUUCACUUUCAAUUUCAUAUUGACAUAAUAUUUUAAAAAUAUAAUAGUCUAAAUUUUUUUAAAAAAACAAAUUAAUAAAUUUAGAUAAGUUUUUCUAUAUAUUUAUUUAAUAAUAAUAUUUAAUUAAACUAAUUAUAGGUCUAAAAUUACUUUUUUGCCUAAAAGCCAUGUAUCUGAUCAACAAGUCAUCCGUGAGAUUCUUAGCAGCUUGCCCCCAAAGUUUAAUGGUAAUAUAAACAACAUGCGUGGUGAGAGGAUUGCACUCAAUAAAGUUGUUUACCUCUUGCCAGAUAAAACGAAUGUCAACUUAGGUUUAAGAUCAUCUCCAAUGUAAACCUAUUUUUUUCUAUAUUCUCACAACAAUAGAGUAAACCGUUGGGAUAAAACUUACCCUAUAAUAGAGUUAUUUUAUUUUUGUGAAAAUUAUAAAGGAAAAAAUAGGUUUGGGUUGGAGAUACCCCGAGAAUCAUGAAGAAGAGAGGAAGACAAUAGAGAGCUCUUUCUCUACCUAUGCUGUUUGUUUCUUCUAAUGAAAACAUUUUAGGAAGAAGUAAGAUUAAAAUGUUGCUGCUUUGCAGUUUUAAAGAGUAAGAUGUGUUGUUCGUUUGAUGCUCAACAAAACAACUCACGAAAUGUUCUAUUUUGGUAGUUUCUUUGGCUUUCAAAUCAUAAUAUUAAAUUUUAGAAAGGUGUCUUCUUGAGUUAUAAAAAAAAAGGUUAUAAAAUGUUUGAAAUAUGAAAACAGGGAUUCAGACAGAGACUCGACACCAGUAUUCGAUUCUUGUAGAGACAAAACAGAGAGAAAAGUACCUUUGAACAGUGUUCGUUGGGUCAUACAAAACUACUUGUAUUACAGUAAAUUACAUUCAAAAUUGAACCAAGAUUAAACCGGUCGGUACGAAUCGGCUAAACGAAUCUAACCUAUACUAAAAGGGCAAUAAUAAGCCCUUUUAAGCUGUCCAGCUCGGACUAUAAAAUCAGCCAAUGGUGGAGCAGCAUUCUUCCACGUCAUUAAUAGUUUUUUGUUUGGGCUUCUGUUGUUUUUGGCCUGUCUGAUCUGUGGGCUAUAUAGUCCAAUCUGCAAUUGAUGGCCGACGAAACCUAAUUUCGUUCUUCACUUUUCGACUUCCAUCUCUUACCUCUUCAAUUUCUCUUCUCUCCAAAUCCGUUUCGAGGAGUAAUUUCACCGUUGACGUUCCCACUUUUUUCUCUGCCUUCUUCGUCGGUUGGCUCUCAUUCUAUAUAAGCAGAUGAUUAGCGGGGGAUUGAGUAAGGAGGAUUAGGAUGCUCUGGUCGCCGGAAGUUGCAGGGAUAUCCGUAAAAUCCAUUAGAUUCGUCUUUCGGCCAUCAUAGAAGAAAGGUUCUUUUUUUUCUUACGAUCGUUCUCGAAUAUGAUAUUAAGUAGUUAGGAUUAUAAAUGUAUCCAUUCUUUGCUUAUCCAGCGGAAUCCCCACCUUCGGCAGCGUCGUAUAUUAUUGAAUAAACUUCAAAAACUGUUGUUUUUAGGAUAAAUAUGCUAUGUUCUCAUCUGAAAUCAACACCAUGUUUCUUUUCUUAAUGAUUUGAUGCAUUCAUGCACAUGCUGUAGGUUAUUGGUGCUGUGAUUCUACGAAGAUCUGAGAGAACGAGAAUCAAGAUUGUUCCAAAGACCAACCAUAGGAAUCAGGGGAUUAAAAAAAUUCCCCGCACGAAGUCUUUCUCUAACAAGGUUUUCUUUCUACAUAUUUUUCUUAUUUAAUCACAAAUUAAGGUGUGGAUUCCUAUUAAUUUUGUUUGUAUAGUAUUUUAAGAAAAAUAUAUAUCCUAUGUCGUUAGUCUUCACUUUUGCUGUUUUUCCAGAGCUUAAAAGAUAUAUGCACAUAUAGCUCGGUUCUGUUCCUGAGUAACCCAACUAUCGUAGAAUAUGUUUACACUACGGGAACUGAGAUAGCGAACAGGGCUAAAGUAAAUUGUAUCCAGAACAAUUGGGCAGUAAACGUUGUAAGUAUGCUUUGGUUUUUACUCUUUUAUUCAAUUGAUUGUUUUAAAGUUGGAAUGUAUCAGCAGGUGGAUGAUGAUCAAUGAUCAAACAUAUCAGAGAGUACAAAAGGUAUGCUAUAAUGAUGCUGACAGUUUUUUUUUAAUUCGAACUACUGAGAUUUUGUUUGCCUCUUGGCCCUUGAUCUUAAAAUUUAACCAAUAUUUGAGAAUAGGGAUUAGGUACCAGGCCAUUUCUACUGCUCAGCGAGAAGAAAUUUAUUGCCCUUCACCAGGUUACUUAGAACCAAAAUGGUUUCUGGAAUUGAAGGGGUUUUCUUCUCACCUUUUUCUUUAGGAAACAUUCAUCGUACUACUGUGAUUAUAGAUUAUAAACUUUUUGAAUGUCAGAGCUUCGCCUAAGUUUAUGCUUCUUUCAAUAGUGUUCUUUAAACAGCUUAUGAGCCAACAUCUGUAUAUGUGUGUAUGUGCUUGUGAUCAGCAUGUUGCUAUGAUUGUACACUUUUUCUACCUCUUGAAUCAACCAACGGAGAAACAAGUAUAACCAAGUCCUGCUCUUAGUAUAUUAGAGUUUUGGCUUAUUGUUUGGAGAUUUGAGAGUCUCUUUUUUUCUACGUGUAUUAAUCUAUAUUCUGCAGUAUUUUACUGUCUUUGCUUUCACUAAUGUAUAUAUUAAAUUAGUUAUAUAUGCAGAAGAAACAACAGAGAUUUUUUUUGACUAAUGAAACAACAGAGUAUUGUAGAGGCAAAAAAAACUACCAUAAGACCACAAACCAAAGGAAUCAUCUCAGCAGAGCGAGUGAAAAGCCACCAACAAAGAACACAAUUCAGAUUUCAUGAAAAAUAUUUUAUGAAGCCGAAGUGAACCAACCGUGGAAGAAGAACAAGAAAAAAGACUUGCUACUAACCGCACUAGACGGGAAUUGCGUCUACAUUGGAUGAAUCUUCACAUCUCAACACAAUGCCUUCAAGACUUGCAGGGAACGUGCACUAUCAUCAACACGCUUUCGUUUCUCUGUACCACUCCAAUGACACUCACUGUGCUUCCUUCUUUGAUAUACCUGCAAAGUAAAACAAGUAUCAGAGAGAGACCCAAUAGAUUUUGAGCAACUUUUUUAAGGUUCUUGAAUCGUUUUCAUACCCUUCUUUCAGCCGCAUCACUCUUUCAUCAUUAGAUAGAUUCUUCCAUUAAUAUCUUUUUAAGGUUCUUUGAAUCGUUUUUUAAGAAUUUUUAAGCAGUCAAGAAACAAUAGCAUGCUGUCUUGUGCAUAGAAUGAUGACCAAAUUUCCCAUUUUUAAGUAGUCACUUCCCUCCAGUCAAAAAAACAAAUCCCAAGUUUCUUAGAAAGCAGCACAUUAUUUUCUAUUAGCAAAACACCACGAAUUCCGUCAAUAAAUAUUAGCAUCUUGCUUUUUUCAUAAGAUAUUAAGAUGAAUAAUUCAUAAGUCACAAGUUAUACCUACUAAUAAAUAAUUAAAAUUUAUAAAACUUAAAAAUCUGCAAAAUUUAUUAUAGAUGACACGCUACUAUUUUACAUAAAUGUAUCAUUUAUUAUAGAUUUUAAAUAACUAUAAAUUCAUAGCAAUUCAACAAAUUCAAUUAAUUUUCUUAAAAAUUAUAAUUCAUAAUUUUCAACUAAUAUUUCUUUAUAUUAAUUAAUGUAAAAUGACACCGUAAUGUUUUACAUAAAUGUAUCAUUUUAUCAUAGAUUUUAAAUAACUAUAAAUUAAUAUUUCUAUUAAUUUUCCUGAAAAAGAAAAAUUAGAAAAAUAAUAUUUAGUAGAGAAUCUAUACUAUACUAAAAGGAAGAUAUCCUCAUCAUAUAGCUAUGCCACGUAUUACAAAAUAAUCAACCAAUCAUAUUCUGUUUUUUACACAUGUGGGCUUCGUCCUGCUUCUGCUAUUCACGUUUGGGCCUGAACUUUUUUUUCCAAAUUAACAAACGAACUUGGCAUCUUCCUCUCUACCCUUUCGUUUUCUCCGAUUGAAAAACCUGAAGAAUGAGUUCAGAUCUAUGCUUUACGUCAAUCAAUUUCUCCUUUAUAAUAAACUUUAAGCAUGUCAAUAUUUUGUUUCGUUUUCUUUGUUUCAAUCAUCCAUUGAUAGUUUCGUUUCGUUUUCUUUGUUUCGUCCCUAUUUAUACAAAGAUGCCUUUUCAUUUUAGAAACCCUAAUCGAAAACUCACUCUCCUCAACGAAACACUAUGUCGACAAAGCCAAACGGCAAAUCGAUCAUCUCCUCCUCCGACGGCAACGGCGAGUCGAAAACCGGAUCUAAUCCCGUUCAAUCCACCGUGGUUAAAGCGAACGGCAAGACGCAUGUUUCCUCCGAUGACAAUCGCGAACUAAUGCUCUUCAACGAAGUAUCCUUGGGUCCUCAGGAAACCAAUUUACGGUUUCGUCUGGUUCACUUCUGGGAGGCUCGAAACCCACUGCAAAAGACUCUGAUCGGUCUUGAGAUGCUUCUCAUCGACGAACAGGAGACCGUUAUUCAAGGCUUUGUCCCACCAGGAAGAAUCAAAAAAUUCAUGCCACAUAUGAGACAAGGCGGUCUGGUCUCUACACUCUCACCAGCUUCUACGGAUCCAGAAACAAAGAGGUGUUCCGGGUUGCUGCUCACAGCGUGACAAUCUCCUUCUCCCACACUUCCGAGUUGGUGCCCCUUGAGAACAUCCCGUGGACUUCGAGGAGGACCGUUUCCGGUUCCAUUCCUAUGAAGACUUCGAAGCUGGCUGUGAUAUGAAAAGUGAUCUUUACGAUGUUAUUGGACACUUGAAACUGGUUAACGGCUAGAGCCUCAAUAUGCGUCCCUUCAUUGACGAUGCCGAGCUCGCAACCACUCGGCGUAUAUUGGUGCAUGUGCAGUCGCAUGCGU